This is a non-coding RNA of Danionella cerebrum, 71 nucleotides long. The record is from the annotation of a GenBank genome assembly. Lineage: Eukaryota; Metazoa; Chordata; Actinopteri; Cypriniformes; Danionidae.
UAUAGGAUAGCAUAGUGGUAACACUCCUGCCCUUCGCACAGGAGACUGGGGUUCGAAUCCUCGUCAAAUUA